This is a small nucleolar RNA of Cloeon dipterum, 208 nucleotides long. RefSeq annotates it as small nucleolar RNA U3. Lineage: Eukaryota; Metazoa; Arthropoda; Insecta; Ephemeroptera; Baetidae. The transcript has a single exon. The record is from RefSeq and is a predicted model, not a curated record.
AAGAUCAUACUUCACAGGAUCAUUUCUGUAGUAUGUUUCGCCCGCAUUGAUUCUCUUCAAUGCGCUCAAGACACCCACGAUGAGGAGUCACAACUGGAUUACCUGAGCGUGAGGAGGAUGGAUGGUCCCACAGGGGCUGACCAUCAUCGAUGAUCGUUCACCACCUGCACUAGUGCUAGUGGGAUGGUAGUCCAGUAGUCUGAGUGGU